UUCCUGCUCAGUGAAUAUAAACAGCCGCAGAAUUUUACUGUGCUAAGGUAGCAUAAUCACUUGUCUUUUAAUUAAAGAAUAGAAUGAACGGAAAAACGAAUUUUAUCCUGUCUCAUCUUCUUUUAAUAAAUUUACCAAAAAGUAAAAACUCUUUUUUUUAAAAAAAAGACGAUAAGACCCUAAAGAACUUGACUAAAGUUAAGCUGGGGCGGCUUUUUAAAAAAAUCUUAUUCUUAACUCAUUUUACCUUUCUAAAUUCUAAAUGUUACCUUAGGGAUAACAGCACAAUCUAAUUUUACAGCUCUCAUCCAAAAUUAAGAUUGUGACCUCGAUGUUGAAUUAAAAAUCUUCUAAACGAAAAAAAUUAGCAAGAAAGUCUGUUCGACUUUUAAAUAAUUACAUGAUUUGAGUUCAGACCGGUGAAAACCAGGUCGGUUUCUAUCUUUUUUAAAUUUUUAUUAGUACGAAAGGACCAUAAAAUCUAUUUCUAAU
RNAcentral lists this ribosomal RNA (492 nucleotides) under Dysdera calderensis. Its description in RNAcentral is "partial 16S ribosomal RNA". It matches the Rfam family "Bacterial large subunit ribosomal RNA", at positions 1856 to 2711 of the family's 2925-position model. The record is from RNAcentral. Lineage: Eukaryota; Metazoa; Arthropoda; Arachnida; Araneae; Dysderidae.